Molecule: small nucleolar RNA, 131 nt
Filed under: Mus caroli (Ryukyu mouse)
Lineage: Eukaryota; Metazoa; Chordata; Mammalia; Rodentia; Muridae
Description: predicted gene, 22594 (MGP_CAROLIEiJ_G0035800.1)
Rfam family: Small nucleolar RNA SNORA17
About the family: snoRNA ACA 17 belongs to the H/ACA family of snoRNAs and is predicted to guide pseudouridylation of the 28S rRNA at positions U4659 and U4598. It shares the same host gene together with ACA43.
Source: RNAcentral
CCUGCCCCUACAAGUGUUGUAGGUUUUGCUGUUGUGCCACAGCUACAUCAACCGGUGGCAGAGAGGAGGGCGGCUAUGUCUCUGAUCAGUGUUCUGACCUAGAAACAUCUGAUGAUUGCUAGCCUAACAUU